CCUACGGGAGGCAGCAGUGGGGGAUAUUGCACAAUGGGGGAAACCCUGAUGCAGCGACGCCGCGUGAGUGAAGAAGGAUUUCGGUAUGUAAAGCUCUAUCAGCAGGGAAGAAAAUGACAGUACCUGACCAAGCAGCCCCGGCUAACUACGUGCCAGCAUCCGCGGUCAUACGUAGGGGGCAAGCGUUAACCGGAUUUACUGGGUGAAAAGGGGGCGUAGGCGGGUAGGUAAGUCUGGAGUGAAAGCCCGGGGCCCAACCCCGGGACUGAUUUGGAAACUGGGUAACUGGAGUACAGGAGGGGCAGGCGGAAUUCCUGGUGUAGCGGUGAAAUGCGUAGAUAUCAGGAGGAACCCCGGUGGCGAAGGCGGCCUGCUGGACUGCAACUGACGUUGAGGCUCGAAAGCGUGGGGAGCAAACAGGAUUAGAUACCCCGGUAGUC
RNAcentral lists this ribosomal RNA (440 nucleotides) under uncultured bacterium. Its description in RNAcentral is "partial 16S ribosomal RNA". It matches the Rfam family "Bacterial small subunit ribosomal RNA", at positions 338 to 795 of the family's 1533-position model. The record is from RNAcentral.